RNAcentral lists this ribosomal RNA (222 nucleotides) under Triticum aestivum (bread wheat). RNAcentral describes it as "partial small subunit ribosomal RNA". The record is from RNAcentral. Lineage: Eukaryota; Viridiplantae; Streptophyta; Magnoliopsida; Poales; Poaceae.
AUGCAUCGUACUGAGAGGUCAUUUGAAGUGGGUGACUCUGUUUUCCUAAAGAUGCAACCCUACAUUCAAUCUUCCAUCGCUCCGAGGGCAAAUCAUAAAUUGGCCUUCAAGUACUUCGGUCCGUUUCCAAUUACAGAGAAGAUUGGUGCAGUGGCUUACAAACUAGCUCUGCCUGAAAAUUGCCACGUUCAUCCGGUCUUCCAUGUUUCCUUGCUUAAAUAG